GGGAAGGGAAGGGAAGGGAAGGGAGGGGAGGGGAGGGGAGGGGAGGGGAAGGGCACAAAAGUCGGAAAGAAAGAGAAGGAAAAGAGAAAAAGAGGAAGAGAAGAAUGAGAAAAGAAGAGAAAGGAGAGAAAGAGGAGAGGAGAGGAGUGACGGCACGGCACGGCACAGCCCAGUACAGCCCAGUACGGCCCAGUACAGCCCAGUAUGGCCCAGUACGGCCCAGUACUGCCCAGUACAGCCCAGUACAGCCCAGUACGGCCCAGUACGGCCCAGUACGGCCCAGUACGGCCCAGUACAGCCCACCCCAGCCCCGGCACUCACGGCAGGCGGCGGGGGUCUCGUCGGAGCCGUCCCGGCACUCGGUGCCGCCGUCGCACACCCACUUGGCGGAGAUGCAGGCCCCGUUCCCGCACUGGAACUGCCCCUGGCUGCACGGCUCGGCCCCUGCGGCACCCGGCACUGAGCGGCGGCACCGGCACCGGCCCCCAGACCCAAUUGGGGACCCCCCAGACCCAUAUUUGGGACCCUCCUGCCCCAUGAUGGAAGCCCCCAGCCCCAAUUUGGGACCCCCCAAGACCCAUUUUAGGACUCUCCAGCCCCAUUUUGGGAGCCCCCCAGACCCAUCUUGGAACCCCCAGCCCCAUUUUGAGACCCCUCAGACCCAUCUUGGAACCCCCAACCCCAUUUUGGGACCCCCCAGAUCCAUUUUGAGACCCCCAGGCCCAUUUUGGGACCCCCUGGACUCAUUUUGAGACCCCCUGGACCCAUUUGGGGACUCCUGGGACCAUUUCAGGACCCCACAGCCUCACUUUGGGACCCCCGGGGCCAUUUUGGGGCUAAACCCCACGAUUUGAGGCCCGAGCGCCAUUUGGGGGACACCUUUGGGGACUUUGGACUUUGCCUGGGGACCGCUGGGGCUCGAGGCCGCCCCCUGGGGCCCUUUUAAGCCCCUCUGGGCCCUUUUUAGGCCCCUUUGGGCCCUUUUUGGGCCCUUUCCGCCCUUUUCAGGCCGUUCCCAGCCCCCCCCGGCCCCCCCCCGGAGGUCCCGGGGUCCCCGCGGCCUCCCCCAGGCCCCGCCCCUCCGCGCUGCCAUUGGCCGCGGCCGCGGUGGCCAGUUGGGCCGCGGACCAAUAGGAAGCGCGGGACACGCCUCAAGGGGCGGUGCCGCGCACGGUGAUUGGGCCGGAACUGGGCAGAGCCGCCCUCGCCCCGCCCACCGCGCCCCCUGCCCUCAGUCAUGGCGGCGACCAUGAGGG
Molecule: long non-coding RNA, 1256 nt
Filed under: Anas platyrhynchos platyrhynchos (common mallard)
Lineage: Eukaryota; Metazoa; Chordata; Aves; Anseriformes; Anatidae
Description: lncRNA (ENSAPLG00000027633.1)
Source: RNAcentral